CCCUGUAGAGUUGAGUCAUGGAGAGUCUCAGGGAAUUAUGACAGUCUUAAAUCAUUUAUUGCAGGUGAUUUAUAAAAUAAAAGAAGUGAUGGAAGGAUAAUUUGUAUAAAGUUUUAGAAGUGUAAAAGAAAUGUAAUGGUGUGAUCAUCGGGACGAUGAUUUUACAAGGUGGAGGUGGAUGUAGUAUUGAGCGCUCUGGUUAAGUGGGGUGGGGGGAGGAACUUUGGGCUAUUUAGACAUUUACACACACGGAACAAAUUAAGUGAUGCACAGAACAAUGAAAUGCGGUGAGAACGCCACACAUAAAUUGUGAUAGGAUUUGGUGUGCGCCCUGAGAACCUCAGCGACCAGAGCGGCUGAAUUUGAAUAUGAUGUUAACAGAUUUGAUGCACUCCCAUGAGAACCUCAACGACCAGAGUGGUCAGAAUUGAAUAUUGCUGUGCUAACAGGUAUGAAGUGUAUUUGAAGUUAUUUUGGAACGAUUAUUGAAAAGGAAUUGAUUUAGACGUGCUUUAUGUGAUUUGACUUUGUUAAUGUUUGUAUUUUGUGUAUUUUUGGGACAGAUUGCCA
Sinocyclocheilus anshuiensis is the source of this 570-nucleotide long non-coding RNA. RefSeq lists it as uncharacterized. The transcript has 3 exons. Lineage: Eukaryota; Metazoa; Chordata; Actinopteri; Cypriniformes; Cyprinidae. The record is from RefSeq and is a predicted model, not a curated record.